GAACUAGAAAAAAAAAAAAAAAAACUGCUUUUUUUUUUUUCAUUUGUGAACAGGGCUUUCUCCUUACCAAGGGCAAUUCCAAUCAUGGCUUCACUAAGGUUGCCAAUUCGCUGCCCCAAUAAGACGAUUAUGAAAUUAGUUGCAUAAAAAUAUUGCAAAAUUCUUUGUAAUCCAGAAAUUUCUAGUAGGACAGUAAGAAACAAGAGAUUAAGGAACAAAAGUAUGAUCUCUUAGGAUCUCUUAAUCCCUAUCAUUUAGAUUUUUGAAUAAAAAAGAAAAUUACAUCUUAUUGAAUUCCUACUGUCUACUGU
Molecule: unclassified non-coding RNA, 311 nt
Filed under: Hevea brasiliensis (rubber tree)
Lineage: Eukaryota; Viridiplantae; Streptophyta; Magnoliopsida; Malpighiales; Euphorbiaceae
Source: RNAcentral